AAUGGGGGAAACCCUGAUGCAGCGAUGCCGCGUGAGUGAAGAAGGCCCUUGGGUUGUAAAACUCUUUCGUCGGGGAAGAAAAUGACUGUACCCGAAUAAGAAGGUCCGGCUAACUUCGUGCCAGCAGCCGCGGUAAUACGAAGGGACCUAGCGUAGUUCGGAAUUACUGGGCUUAAAGAGCUCGUAGGUGGUUAAAAAAGUUGAUGGUGAAAUCCCAAGGCUUAACCUUGGAACUGCCAUCAAAACUUUUUAGCUAGAGUAUGAUAGAGGUAAGUGGAAUUUCUAGUGUAGAGGUGAAAUUCGUAGAUAUUAGAAAGAACACCAAAUGCGAAGGCAACUUACUGGAUCAUUACUGACACUGAGGAGCGAAAGCAUGGGUAGCGAAGAGGAUU
RNAcentral lists this ribosomal RNA (392 nucleotides) under uncultured Gammaproteobacteria bacterium. RNAcentral describes it as "bacterial SSU rRNA". It matches the Rfam family "Bacterial small subunit ribosomal RNA", at positions 370 to 779 of the family's 1533-position model. The record is from RNAcentral. Lineage: Bacteria; Pseudomonadati; Pseudomonadota; Gammaproteobacteria.